Phyllostomus discolor (pale spear-nosed bat) is the source of this 371-nucleotide long non-coding RNA. RefSeq lists it as uncharacterized. Lineage: Eukaryota; Metazoa; Chordata; Mammalia; Chiroptera; Phyllostomidae. The record is from RefSeq and is a predicted model, not a curated record. The transcript has 3 exons.
GCCUAUUAUGAGUAAUGCGGUUAUGGACAUUUGUGUACAAGUUUUUGUGUGGACAUGUUUUCAUUUCUCUUUUAUUUAUUAAUUAUGAUGAUUUUAAAAACUUUUUUAUAUCUAAUUACUUAGGAUUGGAAUUACAUCUGGUAACUCUACGUUAAACCUGUGGAGAAACUGCCAGACUGUUUUCCAAAGUGGUGGCACUGUAUGAGUGUUCCCACUUCUCCACAUCCUUGUCAACACUUAUCUUUCUUUUUGAUUAAAGCUACCUAGAGAGUGUGAAAUAAUAUAUCACUGUCGUUUUGAUUGGCAUUUCCCUGAUAGCUAAUGAUGUUAAGUAUCUUUUUAGGUAUUAACUAGCCAUUUUUAUCUUCUUU